UUACAGAGCUGCCAACAUGCUUAUAACCAAUGUGGCACUGCAGCUUACAAACAAAACACUCGUCCUGCUUAGUUUCUUUGACACUUUAACAUGAUGGGCACAGGCGGGCCUCAUCCCUGUCAUCAAUUGUCUCUCUCUCCUUCUCUCCCUCCCUUUCAUUCUCUCCCUCACUCCUUUCCUCACUUCUUCCCCUUCUGUGGCCAAGAUGAACAAGGGUGGGAUGGGGAAAGGGGCUGUGGCAAGCAUUGGCAUGCUCAACCUUUUGGUGCUACUGAUUGCUGUGGACGCCACCUGUUGCUAUAUCAACCGCUGCGGCAUGCUGAUGUUCCUGGCUGUCAAGCUGUUUGGGCAGAAGGUCCCUGGGAUGAAGACUGUGGAGGAGGGUGACGGCACCUGUAAUGGGAAAACGUCCCCCAUUGGAGAUCCUGCCACAGAGGUCUGAGUUACUGAACAGGAAGUGGCAUCCUAGUAUAUGAAGAAUGGAACCUGUAAAUGCCAAAGUAGAAAGGAGGAAGUGUUGUGAGUAGGGGGUCUUAGUUAAAUGUAUUUGGAGAGUUCCCAGGACAGUCCAAGUUGAGAAAGGAUAAGGAUUCGGAAAAUGAUCUGUGAAUUGUAAAGUCUAACAUCAACAGAUGGUUGUAAUUUCAUCCAGCCCUGUGUAAUCUCCUGUUAAGUGUUACAUUUCCUUGCUUUUAAAUUCAUGUGCCGUCACGACUUCCGCCGAAGUCGGCUCCUCUCCUUGUUCGGGCGGCGUUCGGCGAUCGACGUCACCGGCUUUCAGUCAUCGCCGCUCCAUUUCUCAUAUAUCC
Molecule: long non-coding RNA, 809 nt
Organism: Oncorhynchus kisutch (coho salmon)
Lineage: Eukaryota; Metazoa; Chordata; Actinopteri; Salmoniformes; Salmonidae
Exons: 3
Source: RefSeq, a predicted model, not a curated record